Molecule: ribosomal RNA, 430 nt
Filed under: uncultured bacterium
Lineage: Bacteria
Description: bacterial SSU rRNA
Rfam family: Bacterial small subunit ribosomal RNA
Source: RNAcentral
AGGCAGCAGUGGGGAAUAUUGGACAAUGGGCGAAAGCCUGAUCCAGCCAUGCCGCGUGAGUGAUGAAGGCCCUAGGGUUGUAAAGCUCUUUUGUGCGGGAAGAUAAUGACGGUACCGCAAGAAUAAGCCCCGGCUAACUUCGUGUCAGCAGCCGCGGUAAUACGAAGGGGGCUAGCGUUGCUCGGAAUCACUGGGCGUAAAGGGUGCGUAGGCGGGUUUUUAAGUCAGGGGUGAAAUCCUGGAGCUCAACUCCAGAACUGCCUUUGAUACUGAGAAUCUUGAGUACGGGAGAGGUGAGUGGAACUGCGAGUGUAGAGGUGAAAUUCGUAGAUAUUCGCAAGAACACCAGUGGCGAAGGCGGCUCACUGGCCCGUUACUGACGCUGAGGCACGAAAGCGUGGGGAGCAAACAGGAUUAGAUACCCUGGUAG